AUGUUCAUACAGCCUUCAGAGAUCCAAUCGGUUUGGAAGCCGCAGCGGGAGCGUACGUCGAAGUUCGGGGCGACUCUGUCGACAAGGGUUUGGUAAACGCGCCAGCAUGACUCGGAGGCGUUGAGGGGCGGCAGGAAGUUUCCGGAGCGUUUGAGGUAUUGUGAAUCCACGAGACGAAGGCCCUUUUUAACUUCCUGACACUGCGAGGGCAGGUCACUCGGAGUCCUGAACUGGGGUAUCAGCAGCUGUAAGAAGUUGAAGUCAAGCGGGCACGAAACGGUGGCGUUUCGUUGUGCCGCGGCCGUUGUUGUGGAGGCCGCCAGGAAAAGAAUGAGAACAAGGCCUCGUAAGAAUGACAUCGGCAUCGACAUCUCGGGGACGGGGAGAGAUACCGGGGGGUGUUGGUAGCAGUACAGAGACAACAAAGACAACAAUAAGGAAAAGCAUGUGCACGUGCUUGUGCUUGGGGAUUGUGGUGCAAUUUGAGUAAACUAGUGUAAUUUGAGUUGGGAGUUUGACUAAUCACUAGUAAAUUCCAUAUGCCGAGCAAUGGGUGAAGGCGGCAGGCAAGGCAACACAGCCAGCCAGUUAUGACAGUUGAUUAACUUAACCUACUGCAAAUUUGAAGCUUCAGAGAAGGUGAGAUAGUUCAAUUCAUUUGAUUUCGUUCAAUAAAAAUAUAAUAAAUAAAAGUUAUUGCUUCCUUACUUACCUAGUUUGUUCAUUUUCAACGCCUUAUUUUUGUCUGUCAAUAGAAAAUUCAAGUCCAUUCAUCGAAUUUGUGUGUGAAAGUUCAAGAAAGGGAUGCAAUAAUAUGUAGGGGAGGAUUGGUUAUUUUUUAUCUUACAGGCGGAAUAGGGUGUUUUUAUAAUGGGCUGCUCUGGAUCUGAAAGGAGACUCUUUUUAAAAAAAAUGAAAGAGACAAAAGAAAGAGACAAAAGAAAAUUGCAAAGACAUGUCAUCAAUUUCUAAGUCUUUACAAGGAGGUCUCCUUCUCCUUCUCCUUCUCCUUCUCGUAUGGCCUUUUAUUUUAUUUUUUAUUUUUUUUGAGUUAGAUAGGAAGUCUCUGUCUUGUCUUAAACUUGAUGUUCUGUAAGAUGUCCCAUUGGUCCGAAUUAUUGCACUAUCUUUUCAUCAGGUACUGUAUUUUAUAUAAAUAUAUUCUCAUGUCACAUAAAAUUCGAUGCAAAGUUUAUUGGGAUUUAAUGACAUCAAUAAAUCAUCAAUAAAUCCUCCUUUGUUUAUCUAUUCUUUUAGACUUUCUUGUACAACCUUAUUUCUCUUUUCCUUAUGGGGAAUGCUAUUCGAACGUCUAUCCAUUUUACCAUUUAAAGUGAAAAGCGCUUGUACAAAAGACAAUAAUACUAGGGAGAUCUUAGUAGUAGUAUUUGAGUUUUAAUCCAAAUUUUAUUAUCAUGUAUCAUUUAUUUAUUAGAUAAUAAAUUUCAUAACUUAUACAUUAUUUGACCACCAUCUGAUAAAUCAAUACUCCUAUAAAAAUAGUUAUGGAUGGAACAAUAACAUUCACAUCACUCAUUUUUCAUGUGUUAUCAUAAAAGCAUGUUGUUUGUUCAUUUUGUAAAAAUACCCUUAACCCAUGUUUGGUUGGAAGAAAUGGUAGGAGCGGAAAGGAAAGAAUGGGAGAGAAAAUGAGUGAAAAUGAGUGAAAAAGAAUGUCAAUUUCAUUUUUAUUGUUUGGAUGGUCAAUGAAUUCAUUUUUCUCCCCUUAUUUUUUCCCCUCUCCUCCUUUCCUCUUCUCUCCUCUCCUUAUAUUGUUCCAAACCAAACAUGCCAUUAGUCUUGAAUAUUUCUCAAAAAUGACACUUGGAAUCACAAUUUAUAUGAAAAUGAACAAAAAAAACUCUCUAAUGUUUCGACAAAGGCAUCCACACAUCAUUUGAUUGUAAAUUCAAUUAGUUUAUAAGGCAACAAUGGUAAUUUAGUACAUUUAUCCUAAAAAUAUUCAUGAUAUACUAAAAAAAAAAAGGUUCUAAUCUUAUUUUGUUUUACAUAAACAUCUCAAAAUUCAUUGUAAGUGAUGUGAUAUUCAUUAGGGAUGAGGAUUUCGAUUUUUUGUUGUUCAAUUUUUACGAUUUUCGGUUUAGGUUACAACCCAUUCGAGUCUAAGAUUUCAACCUAAGCAUGUUGAAAGAUUGUUUCAGUUUGGUCUACUUUGGUUCGGUUUGGUUCGGUUUGGUUCAAUUUGAUACGAGUAUAUAAUUUGGUGUGGUUUUGGUUUGUUAAUUCAGGUCUAAACACAGUUUCGGUUAUAAUAAAAUAGCAAUAUGUGAUUGUAAGAGUGAGGCAAAGAUGGAGAAUAAUUUUUUUUUUUUUUAAAAGGUACCUUAUGCUCGUGAAGAUCACAAUUGUAUUUAGGCCUGUAACAACAACCUGCAGAAAAUAACUUGCUCAGGUCAGUCCUAUUAGAAAAAGUGUCUAAAUUCCGAGAAAUUACUAGAGUCGGUGAGAGAUAGAAACCUGAAGAAUGGCAUAGAUUAUUGUUCCAACGCUGGAAGAAAAUCCUAAGGACAUUACAAGUAUAAGAACCAAAAUAUUAUGGUCGUUCUAAAUUUUUGAGAGAACAUGAAAGCAUAUCCUUGCAGAGAUCUCAUUACCUGCUGACUCAAAAAUAGUGCUGCUGUAAAAACAGAUUCCAUUGAUUCCACCAAAUUGUUGAAACACCAUCAAUCCGACUCCAAUCUUGUCAAAAUGAAUAAAUUGUAGGAGGAGUCAAUGAGAAGAUAAAAUGUAGUUGCAUUAUAGAUGAAGGAGAAAGAGGAAUUUGUACCGUGACUGAGCGCAAGUAUCUUCUUUGAAACAAAUCCAGCAUUCCAGCUUUUGGGAGCCUUUCUAGAGUUUCUAUGUAAUCCUGUUAAGCAACGAAAAAAAUGCUUCAGAUAAAUUUUCUUCUCAAUGGUCCAAUACACAUAGUCAGUGUGGAAUGGCACUUAUAACUCAGAUAUAAGACCUGGAUUUCAGCUGCCUCAUGUGUUAUAUCAGCAUCCUUGCCACGAAGUUUCUGUAGCGCAGCUUCAAACUCUUUUUCCUUUCCUGUCUUUGCCUGUGUCCAUGGCAAGUUCAGUUUCAUGUAUUCAUCUUUUUCUUGGAGUGUCAUUAUCAGGUAUCCUUACCAGCCAUCUAGGAGACUCCGGGAUGAAAAAGAGACCCAAAAACAAAAUUGCACAGGGGAUGAUACCUGCAAUAAUUGUCUGUAAGCCUUCUGUUUCAUUAUCCUUUCGUAGUUCGUUUUCCUUUUUAAGUUUUCUUGGACAGUUGAAUAAAUGGAUGGUUAAUCAUUUUCACCUGUUAGUGCUAAAGCUCUCCAUGUUAGUACCGUCCCAAUUAUGAAGGCAACUGACACACCAGCACAGAUCAUAAGCUAUAUACAAACAUCAGAAACAAUUAGAUAGAUCAUAGAUUGCUUAAUUUUGGGGCAACUAGCUAUUCGAGAGAUAAAUUAAAAUGACAAAUGAGAAUUUCCUCCAAUUAAGAUGUCUGCAUUUUUAGCUUACCUGAUUUGCAGCUGUUAGUGCUCCUCGAAGAUUCUUGGGUGCAAUUUCAGCAAUAAAAACCGGCACCACAUACGAAAAGACUCCCAUUCCAUAUCCUGUUGCCAAUCUUCCAAUAUCCAAUGGCCAAACCCCCUUUUGUUUCAAUCAAAACAGAAAGAAUAUAAUUGGUAAGUUUAUAGGAAAAUUGUUCUCUUUGCUAUGUAGCUGAAAGAAAUAGGGGAACAAAAAAAUAUUAGUAGAGCUUAAGAAUAUAUGAACCUCAGCAAAGUAAAUAGCAAGCCAUCCUGCAACGCAGAAGACACUUGAAACUCUCAUUGCCUGCACAUAUUAAACAAUCUUACAAGCUAAAUAUUCACUAGAACACAAUUAAGCUCAUAUCCUAAACAUGCAGUGAUUAAUCAGCUAAAAAAUAUAUAUCUUCUUACCCCUUUCCGACCAACAUAAUUAGCAAUUGGCCCACUGGUGAUUGCCCCGAUCAUGGCACCAAAUGUUAAUAUGGAGCCAAACACGGAAUACUGCAUGAGUAUAAACCAAAACCAAAAUGAAAAAAUUUCAUAUUUACCAACUGAAUGGAAUUAGUCUCUGCAGGAAUCAUAAUAACAUUUCUGCACAUCUGCUUCAGCUUAAUAUAACUUGUAUUCAACAAGACAUGCUCUGUCGCUAAAACAUCCUUGUCAAGACACUAAACUCAUGAUUCUUUACUUCUUAGUAAAUAAACAUACACUAAAAAAGUGAUUAAUUUGGAACUAAUUAGAAGAAUGCCCAUUCAUCAGCAUACCUCUGCGAGGGACAGAGCGAUAUCUUCCCUGAUAGCACUCUGAGUAGGAGAUGAAUAUCCAGCCUGCAAAACCAAAUUGACAAUUCCACAACCUAAGCCUUCCAAGCAUUCAACAGAAAAAAAAGUGAAAAUCAUUGUUUCAGAAUUUGGUUUCAGGAAAUGGACUUACACACGAUCCGAAAGCAUAAGAACCGCAAACUGCAAUGGGUGUGCUGAAGUAAACCAUGCACGGAUUUACUUUCUUGUUGUUUGUUCGGUCACCAGCUCCACCAUCUUCAUGAGCUAAGAUGUUCUCAAUCGGCAUAAGUGGUUCCCUUAUAUUUUCUUGAACAUCCUCUUUGACGUCCAUGAUGAUGCUGAUACCUUCCAAAAAGUUGCCUUAGUUUAUCUAAUAGAAGAAAUUGAAAGAAAUUGUUACAAGAUAAAGGAGAUACGCGAAGAUGGAAGCAGAAGCAAACUAUAUCAUCUAUCAAUUAGCCACAAGAGGCUGGAAUUUCUUGAGUCUUCCCUCAAUACUCCUUCGUGAGUUUUAUGAAAGUACUAACACUGAGGACAAGUAGGCAAUUUGUUUUUUCACACAACUGGAUAAUGAAUCUGAAUCAACGACCAUAUGUACACGUUCUACUCGAAGUAAUAUGUACGCUACUAAACUCAACUGGUGUUAUUUUGUCGUUUGCAUGAAAACUGAAACCUGAAAAGAUGACUUAAAGAUACAUGAACAGGCAGAAACCGCAAGCCAACAUGACUUAAAGAGAAUUUCUUCGAAGUAAAUUUUCCCACGGUUUGUUUGUGUAGGAGAAAAUCUAGGUCCCUCGUUAUCUCGUGUUUAGAAUUGUCAACUGUCGUGCGAACCUCUAAAGAUUCAAGAAAAUCAAAGACAAUUUCAGAUUUUUCUUCACCUGGGAUGUGGCUAAUUUCUUUCGGCACCCAUACCUUCUGUAUCAUUUAAAAUGUCUUAAUAAGCUUAAUUAGCCCCCAUGAAAUGCUUCACAGCUGAAGGCACAGCGAGUGUGCCUUUUAUUUUACUACAUCGACUUUCACAUGGAGAUUAUAAGCCGUAGUUAAAUUGUAAGAUAAGAAUGAAAUUAUGGAUACGUCAAAGUGCCAAGUUGAAUUAAUAAAAAAAUAGGAAAACGACGGUUGUGUGUGUCUAUCCUACAUUAUAAGGAAACAGUUAAGUUUCCAACAAGAGACAUGAUAGCCUUUUAUUUUAUUAUCCUAAAAAAAUUGGCUCAAAUAUUUUAUAAUAAAUAUUAAUAUAAUAUAAAUAUUUUAAAUAAUUUUAAUAAUUAAAAAAUACUAUAAUAUCUGCUGUACCGUACAUCCGCCUCCCACUUGUGAUUGCCCCGAUCAUGGCACCAAAGGUUAAUAUGGAGCCAAACACAGAAUACUGCAUGAGUGUAAACCAAAACCAAAAUGAAAAAAUUUCAUAUUUACCAACUGAAUGGAAUUAGUCUCUGCAGGAAUCAUAAUAACAUUUCUGCACAUCUGCUUCAGCUUAAUAUAACUUGUAUUCAACAAGACAUGCUCUGUCGCUAAAACAUCCUUGUCAAGACACUAAACUCAUGAUUCUUUACUUCUUAGUAAAUAAACGUACACUAAAAAAGUGAUUAAUUUGGAACUAAUUAGAAGAAUGCCCAUUCAUCAGCAUACCUCUGCGAGGGACAGAGCGAUAUCUUCCCUGAUAGCACUCUGAGUAGGAGAUGAAUAUCCAGCCUGCAAAACCAAAUUGACAAUUCCACAACCUAAGCCUUCCAAGCAUUCAACAGAAAAAAAAGUGAAAAUCAUUGUUUCAGAAUUUGGUUUCAGGAAAUGGACUUACACACGAUCCGAAAGCAUAAGAACCGCAAACUGCAAUGGGUGUGCUGAAGUAAACCAUGCACGGAUUUACUUUCUUGUUGUUUGUUCGGUCACCAGCUCCACCAUCUUCAUGAGCUAAGAUGUUCUCAAUCGGCAUAAGUGGUUCCCUUAUAUUUUCUUGAACAUCCUCUUUGACGUCCAUGAUGAUGCUGAUACCUUCCAAAAAGUUGCCUUAGUUUAUCUAAUAGAAGAAAUUGAAAGAAAUUGUUACAAGAUAAAGGAGAUACGCGAAGAUGGAAGCAGAAGCAAACUAUAUCAUCUAUCAAUUAGCCACAAGAGGCUGGAAUUUCUUGAGUCUUCCCUCAAUACUCCUUCGUGAGUUUUAUGAAAGUACUAACACUGAGGACAAGUAGGCAAUUUGUUUUUUCACACAACUGGAUAAUGAAUCUGAAUCAACGACCAUAUGUACACGUUCUACUCGAAGUAAUAUGUACGCUACUAAACUCAACUGGUGUUAUUUUGUCGUUUGCAUGAAAACUGAAACCUGAAAAGAUGACUUAAAGAUACAUGAACAGGCAGAAACCGCAAGCCAACAUGACUUAAAGAGAAUUUCUUCGAAGUAAAUUUUCCCACGGUUUGUUUGUGUAGGAGAAAAUCUAGGUCCCUCGUUAUCUCGUGUUUAGAAUUGUCAACUGUCGUGCGAACCUCUAAAGAUUCAAGAAAAUCAAAGACAAUUUCAGAUUUUUCUUCACCUGGGAUGUGGCUAAUUUCUUUCGGCACCCAUACCUUCUGUAUCAUUUAAAAUGUCUUAAUAAGCUUAAUUAGCCCCCAUGAAAUGCUUCACAGCUGAAGGCACAGCGAGUGUGCCUUUUAUUUUACUACAUCGACUUUCACAUGGAGAUUAUAAGCCGUAGUUAAAUUGUAAGAUAAGAAUGAAAUUAUGGAUACGUCAAAGUGCCAAGUUGAAUUAAUAAAAAAAUAGGAAAACGACGGUUGUGUGUGUCUAUCCUACAUUAUAAGGAAACAGUUAAGUUUCCAACAAGAGACAUGAUAGCCUUUUAUUUUAUUAUCCUAAAAAAAUUGGCUCAAAUAUUUUAUAAUAAAUAUUAAUAUAAUAUAAAUAUUUUAAAUAAUUUUAAUAAUUAAAAAAUACUAUAAUAUUUUACAAUCUAUUAGAUAUAUUUUAUCUGCUGUNNNNNNNNNNNNNNNNNNNNNNNNNNNNNNCCUGCUGUACCGUACAUCCGCCUUGGCCGUACAGCAGUAUAUAAAAAUUCAAAAUAUUUGGGAUACUAUGUAAAAUAAUUUUAAUAUUAUUAAUGCGUGCAAUAUAUUUUAUUAAAUGUAAAGUAUAUUUAACUCAGAGAUUUAUUUAAAAUCUUUGUAAUAGAUUCAUGAAAGUAUUAAAAUAAUAUAGUGAUAUAAAUUAUUUUUAAAUAUUUUACUUUUAUUAAUUUAUUAAAUAGAUUAAAUUAUUUGCUGCUGUCUUUUGACAAGCAAUUCUUGACAGGAAAAUGAGUUGGUUGUUUGUCUUUUAUCCCCAAAGAUGUGAGACUGAUUCAAGUUAUUUACGCAUCCUGUCCAUUAUCCAACAACAAUUCUGGUGACGACAGUGAUCUGAUCUACUACCCAUUUUACUUAGUAAUAAAUUAGGUACAGCCAGCCACCGAUUUAGAAUGGAGAGUUGGCAACCGCAUUGGUUCACUCCUGAAAAAAUAUUAAAAAAACAAAUGGAGAGUUGCAAUUUGCCAUGUGUUUCGAUGAUGAAUUCAAAAGUGGUUGUUUUGGGAUAUAUUUGAAUAAAGGAAUGCAGGCCUUGGAGAAAUAAUAAUAAUAAUAAUGAACAACAUAUAUGAGAUCUUUCAAAUUGAUGCCGUAAGAACUUGAUAGAUCAAGAGGGUACUUAUAAAAAUGAUCGACACUAAAUUUUCACGGUUGCAUUAAAUUUGCAGUUCGCCAACAAAUAUUUCCACCCAUUUGCAAGUAAAAACGAAAUUCAACAUCAUGCCUUGCCAAUCUCAGAGUGAACAAGCAUGGUUGUAGCUCAAAUUGACCUUCAGGCUCAAGAGAACUUGCAGAUCCCUUUCCCACAAUUUUUCAGAAUUGAUUUAACAUGAAACAUCACCUCAGAACAAGAACAUAUAGUAAGACUCGAAUGUUAACAUCUCAGAACAAGAACAUAUAACAAGACUCGAAUAUAACUUCCCAUAUUUACUGCCACAGCACAAAAUUCAGAAUUAGUUUCUUCGGUAAAUCCCGAUUAAAGAACUGGCCGAAUCCAUCAGUUUGAACUAUAAAAAUGCAGCGAUAAGGCUAUAGAAAAAGCAACAAGAAGAUCAAUGAAGCUACAAACACCAGUAGUCUCAGAUAGUUGACCAUAACAUUCAAUGUACAGAGACAAAUCCCACCUUGUACCGAGAUGGUGUGCUGUUUCUUCCAGCACAAGUUUCACCCGUAUGAAACUGCCACAUUUUCCUUAAUCUUCUAACAGCUCUUAACCGACUAUGCUUUUAUGCAGACACUUAGGUCCAAAACAAGCAGAUUAAGCCUGGAGCAUUUACUCUAUCAAUCGAAAGAGACAGGUAAUGAAGACUUCUCAAAUGCAUUUACUUCACACAGGUAUCCUCGGUUGGCCUCUCCACAUUGACAUCUAUAGAUGCAGUGUCGGAUCCUCAAGAAGCAACAAUGUUAAAUGCAUAUCACUCACAAUAUCCCGUAAUAACACAAUCUUAUGAGCAAAAUUUGCAAAAACACCAAAACCACACAGGACCUUAGUAAAUGAAAACACCUGCUAUUCAUAUACAAGUAGAAUUUUAGCUUUGUUAUCACGAUGCACCCUACUUGAAAAGAAUCAACUUUGAAUUAUGCAUCUAUGUACUCUUUACAAGGUGGAACAUGAUUCAAAUUUCAAGAACCACGAAAGCUAUAUAAAAAAUAUAUCAAGGCCAACAAAACCAUCGGUGCAGACACCGGUAAUUACAACAAUUCUACUGGUUUGGAACCAGAGUUUCUCACUUCUUCCUUAUGACUGGAAUCAGAGAUUCUCACUUCUUCCUUAUGACUAGAAGGGCGCUCAAUUUCAGUAAAAGCCUGAUAGCCGGUAUAACUUGAGAACUGACCUGAGCCACUAUUACUGCUCAUAGACUUCUCAAUCUCGUCCAUCUCAGCUACAAAAGAAAUUGGUCGUUCUGGGAUUGUGGGAACAGACUGCUCAGUUUCCAACAUUUUCACGACCUGAUCCAUCGUUGGCCUGGCAUAUAACUGUGGAUGGGAACAAAGAACGGCAAUCGUUACAUACUUCUCUAGAACUUCGGGUACACCCAUCUCUGGCAUACCAUCUUCAAUAACAUCCAGAGCUCUCCCCUCCUUCACCAAUGACCAAGCCCAGUCCGUCACAAGAGAAGCUUGGCCAUCAUCAUUCAUAAUGAGUGCCUUCCUGCCACUCAAAAGCUCCAGAAGCACAACACCAAAGCUGUACACAUCACUCCUGUCAGUCAAUUGCCCAUACAAAGCAUACUCAGGAGCAAGAUAUCCCAUUGUCCCAGCCACCCUAGUACUCAAAUGAGUGAACCCCUCCGGUGUAAACUUUGCAAGCCCAAAAUCCCCCACCUUUGCCUCAAACUUCUCAUCCAAUAAUAUAUUACUAGCUUUAAUAUCCCUGUGAAAAAUUGCCGGCUGUGCACCAAAAUGCAAAUAGGCCAAUCCCCUUGCCGUCCCAAGAGCAAUCGACUGCCUAAGAGGCCAACUAAGCUUCGGCCCAUUGGAAGCAAACAAAUGAUCAUAAACGCUUCCAUUCUUCAUCAAAUCACAGACAAUAAUCCUCUGGUGACCCUCUAACUGAGUAGUGGCAAUACAAUAACCUCUCAAAGCAACAAGAUUGACAUGCCUAACGCUAGCAAUAACCUCCACCUCAUGCUUGAAAUUUGCAUCACCCGCCGCGGAACAAUUCUUGAACCUCUUCAAAGCAACCUCAGAGCCAUCGGGCAAAAGCCCUUUGUAGACAUUACCAUAACCUCCUCUCCCAAUGAUAUUAUCCCUUGAGAAAUUCCGAGUAGCUUUCUUAAUGUCAUCAAAUGUGAACCUGACCAAAUUAGUACUCUCAUGAAUAGACUCCAAUCCCAUUUCAAUUCUAUUAACCUCUUCUCGUUCCCUCUUCUUUCUUCUGUUAGAAACCACACGCUUACGCCAAAAGAUCCAAACCCCACCAGAAAUUAGCAACAACCCAACAACACAAACAACCAAGACCCCGGCAAUUAAGCCCUUGUUCUUCUUCUUACUCUUCUUUGAUGAUUCAGCAAACUCAAAUGAGAACAAACAGUUAGCAGUGCCCGUAUCGGUGGGACCAAACUGAUUGGCGGCCGCGGCGGCGUAAAUGGAAGGAUAGGCCAGACAAUCAGACAAGUUCCCAACGGAAGGCCCGGUCAAAUAGGCCUGCAAGCGGGCCAAGCUGGUAGUACAAGCAGCACAAGGGGCACUAUUCCCCAAGGACUGGUUACAGUUGGAAACGACGUCGUCGAGAGUGGACUGGGGAAUCAACCUCUCGAACUGGGAUAUCGUGGAGAUGUUCAUACAGCCUUCAGAGAUCCAAUCGGUUUGGAAGCCGCAGCGGGAGCGUACGUCGAAGUUCGGAGCGACUCUGUCGACAAGGGUUUGGUAAACGCGCCAGCAUGACUCGGAGGCGUUGAGGGGCGGCAGGAAGUUUCCGGUGCGUUUGAGGUAUUGUGAAUCCACGAGACGAAGGCCCUUUUUAACGUUCUGACACUGCGAGGGCAGGUCACUCGGAGUCUUGAACUGGGACAUCAGCUGCUGUAAGAAGUUGAAGUCAAGCGGGCACGAAACGGUGGCGUUUCGUUGUGCCGCGGCCGUUGUUGUGGAGGCCGCCAGGAAAAGAAUGAGAACAAGGCCUCGUAAGAAUGACAUCGGCAUCGACAUCUCGGGGACGGGGAGAGAUACCGGGGGGUGUUGGUAGCAGUACAGAGACAACAAAGACAACAAUAAGGAAAAGCAUGUGCACGUGCUUGUGCUUGGGGAUUGUGGUGCAAUUUGAGUAAACUAGUGUAAUUUGAGUUGGGAGUUUGACUAAUCACUAGUAAAUUCCCUAUGGCAUGCAACGGGUGAUGGCGGCAGGCAAGGCAAACACAGCCAGCCAGUUAUGACAGUUGAUUAGCUUAACCUACUGCAAAUUUGAAGCUUCAGAGAAGGUGAGAUAGUUCAAUUCAUUUGAUUUCGUUCAAUAAAAAUAUAAUAAAUAAAAGUUAUUGCUUCCUUACUUACCUAGUUUGUUAAUUUUCAACGCCUUAUUUUUGUCUGUCAAUAGAAACUUCAAGUCCAUUCAUCAAAUUGUCAAUUAUAUUAUUAGUCAAUUUAUUACGUGUUUGAUUCGAAUUUGUGUGUGAAAGUUCAAGAAAGGGGUGCAAUAACAUGUUUUAACUGUAGGGGAGGAUUAGUUAUUUUUUAUCUUACAGGCGGAAUAGGGUGUUAUUAUAAUGGGCUGCUCUGGAUCUGAAAGGAGACUCUUCUUAAAAAAAAAAUGAAAGAGACAAAAGAAAAUUGCAAAGACAUGUCAUCAAUUUCUAAGUCUUAACAAGGAGGUCUCCUUCUCCUUCUCGUAUGGCCUUUUAUUUUAUUUUAUUUUUUUUUUGAGUUAGAUAGGAAGUCUCUGUCUUGUCUUAAACUUGAUGUUCUGUAAGAUGUUCCAUUGGUCCGAAUUAUUGCACUAUCUUUUCAUCAGGUACUGUAUUUUAUAUAAAUAUAUUCUCAUGUCACAUAAAAUUCGAUGCAAAGUUUAUUGGGAUUUAAUGACAUCAAUAAAUCAUCAAUAAAUCCUCCUUUGUUUAUCUAUUCUUUUAGACUUUCUUGUACAACCUUAUUUCUCUUUUCCUUAUGGGGAAUGCUAUUCGAACGUCUAUCCAUUUUACCAUUUAAAGUGAAAAGCGCUUGUACAAAAGACAAUAAUACUAGGGAGAUCUUAGUAGUAGUAUUUGAGUUUUAAUCCAAAUUUUAUUAUCAUGUAUCAUUUAUUUAUUAGAUAAUAAAUUUCAUAACUUAUACAUUAUUUGACCACCAUCUGAUAAAUCAAUACUCCUAUAAAAAUAGUUAUGGAUGGAACAAUAACAUUCACAUCACUCAUUUUUCAUGUGUUAUCAUAAAAGCAUGUUGUUUGUUCAUUUUGUAAAAAUACCCUUAACCCAUGUUUGGUUGGAAGAAAUGGUAGGAGCGGAAAGGAAAGAAUGGGAGAGAAAAUGAGUGAAAAUGAGUGAAAAAGAAUGUCAAUUUCAUUUUUAUUGUUUGGAUGGUCAAAAAUUAUUACUAGAAAAUAGACCGCGAAGAAUUGAAGAAUUACAGAUGAAUGUACAAAAAGAACUUAAUUGUGUGAAUCGAAAAAUAAACAUUGCUAUUACACGAAUUACAAAUCCUUAUGGACACCCCAAUAUUCUUGCCGAAUUUAUAGCCGGCUGCUGUACGGCCAAGGCGGAUGUACGGUACAGCAGUUAAAAAAUACUAUAAUAUUUUACAAUCUAUUAGAUAAAUUUUAUUAUAUUAAAAAAAGUUUUAGAAUAAAUGAAAACAUAAUAUUAAAAUAAGUAUAAAAAAUUCAAAAUAUUUGGGAUACUAUGUAAAAUAAUUUUAAUAUUAUUAAUGCGUGCAAUAUAUUUUAUUAAAUGUAAAGUAUAUUUAACUCAGAGAUUUAUUUAAAAUCUUUGUAAUAGAUUCAUGAAAGUAUUAAAAUAAUAUAGUGAUAUAAAUUAUUUUUAAAUAUUUUACUUUUAUUAAUUUAUUAAAUAGAUUAAAUUAUUUGUGUUUAUGUAUAUUUACUCAAAUAUUUAAAGUUAAUUAUUUUAAUCAUUAUAUUUAAAAGGUAUUAUUUAACUUUAUUUAUAAAAAAAUUUAGAGAUAUGUAUGACCAUUUUCAUAAAUUUUACGGGUAAUGAUUCCUUUUUCGUAAAUAAAUAAAUUAAUUAAAAAUGGAGAAAGGUUUGGCAGAGUUGUGUUUGGCUUGAGAUUCCUUUUGACAAGCAAUUCUUGACGGGAAAAUGAGUUGGUUGUUUGUCUUUUAUCCCCAAAGAUGUGAGACUGAUUCAAGUUAUUUACGCAUCCUGUCCAUUAUCCAACAACAAUUCUGGUGACGACAGUGAUCUGAUCUACUACCCAUUUUAAUUAGUAAUAAAUUAGGUACAGCUAGCCACCGAUUUAGAAAGGAGAGUUGGCAACAGCAUUGGUUCACUCCUGAAAAAAUAUUAAAAAAAUAAAUCGAGAGUUGCAAUUUGCCAUUUGUUUCGAUGAUUAUUCAAAAGUGGUUGUUUUGGGAUACAUUUGAAUAAAGGAAUGCAGGCCUUGGAGAAAUAAUAAUAAUAAUAAUGAACAACAUAUAUGAGAUCCUCGGUUGGCCUCUCCACAUCGACAUCUAUAGAUGCAGUCUCGGAUCCUCAAGAAGCAACAAUGUUAAAUGCAUAUCACUCACAAUAUCCCGUAAUAACACAAUCUUAUGAGCAAAAUUUGCAAAAACACCAAAACCACACAGGACCUUAGUAAAUGAAAACACCUGCUAUUCAUAUACAAGUAGAAUUUUAGCUUUGUUAUCACGAUGCACCCUACUUGAAAAGAAUCAACUUUGAAUUAUGCAUCUAUGUACUCUUUACAAGGUGGAACAUGAUUCAAAUUUCAAGAACCACGAAAGCUAUAUAAAAAAUAUAUCAAGGCCAACAAAACCAUCGGUGCAGACACCGGUAAUUACAACAAUUCUACUGGUUUGGAACCAGAGUUUCUCACUUCUUCCUUAUGACUGGAAUCAGAGAUUCUCACUUCUUCCUUAUGACUAGAAGGGCGCUCAAUUUCAGUAAAAGCCUGAUAGCCGGUAUAACUUGAGAACUGACCUGAGCCACUAUUACUGCUCAUAGACUUCUCAAUCUCAUCUAUCUCAGCUACAAGAGAAAUUGGUCGUUCUGGGAUUGUGGGAACAGACUGCUCAGUUUCCAACAUUUUCACGACCUGAUCCAUCGUUGGCCUGGCAUAUAACUGUGGAUGGGAACAAAGAACGGCAAUCGUUACAUACUUCUCUAGAACUUCGGGUACACCCAUCUCUGGCAUACCAUCUUCAAUAACAUCCAGAGCUCUCCCCUCCUUCACCAAUGACCAAGCCCAGUCCGUCACAAGAGAAGCUUGGCCAUCAUCAUUCAUAAUGAGUGCCUUCCUGCCACUCAAAAGCUCCAGAAGCACAACACCAAAGCUGUACACAUCACUCCUGUCAGUCAAUUGCCCAUACAAAGCAUACUCAGGAGCAAGAUAUCCCAUUGUCCCAGCCACCCUAGUACUCAAAUGAGUGAGCCCCUCCGGCGUAAACUUUGCAAGCCCAAAAUCCCCCACCUUCGCCUCAAACUUCUCAUCCAAUAAUAUAUUACUAGCUUUAAUAUCCCUGUGAAAAAUUGCCGGCUGUGCACCAAAAUGCAAAUAGGCCAAUCCCCUUGCCGUCCCAAGAGCAAUCGACUGCCUAAGAUGCCAACUAAGCUUCGGCCCAUUGGAAGCAAACAAAUGAUCAUAAACGCUUCCAUUCUUCAUCAAAUCACAGACAAUAAUUCUCUGGUGACCCUCUAACUGAGUAGUGGCAAUACAAUAACCUCUCAAAGCAACAAGAUUGACAUGCCUAACGCUAGCAAUAACCUCCACCUCAUGCUUGAAAGUUGCAUCACCCGCCGCGGAACAAUUCUUGAACCUCUUCAAAGCAACCUCAGAGCCAUCGGGCAAAAGCCCUUUGUAGACAUUACCAUAACCUCCUCUCCCAAUGAUAUUAUCCCUUGAGAAAUUCCGAGUAGCUUUCUUAAUGUCAUCAAAUGUGAACCUGACCAAAUUAGUACUCUCAUGAAUAGACUCCAAUCCCAUUUCAAUUCUAUUAACCUCUUCUCGUUCCCUCUUCUUUCUUCUGUUAGAAACCACACGCUUACGCCAAAAGAUCCAAACCCCACCAGAAAUUAGCAACAACCCAACAACACAAACAACCAAAACCCCGGCAAUUAAGCCCUUGUUCUUCUUCUUACUCUUCUUUGAUGAUUCAGUUACCUCAAAUGAGAACAAACACUUAGCAGUGCCCCUAUCGGUGGGACCAAACUGAUUGACGGCCGCGGCGGCGUAAAUGAAGGGAUAGGCCAGACAAUCAGACAAGUUCCCAACGGAAGGCCCGGUCAAAUAGGCCUGCAAGCGGGCCAAGCUGGUAGUACAAGCAGCACAAGGGGCACUAUUCCCCAAGGACUGGUUACAGUUGGAAACGACGUCGUCGAGAGUGGACUGGGGGAUCAAUCUCUCGAACUGGGAUCUCGUGGAGAUGUUCAUACAGCCUUCAGAGAUCCAAUCGGUUUGGAAGCCGCAGCGGGAGCGUACGUCGAAGUUCGGGGCGACUCUGUCGACAAGGGUUUGGUAAACGCGCCAGCAUGACUCGGAGGCGUUGAGGGGCGGCAGGAAGUUUCCGGAGCGUUUGAGGUAUUGUGAAUCCACGAGACGAAGGCCCUUUUUAACUUCCUGACACUGCGAGGGCAGGUCACUCGGAGUCUUGAACUGGGACAUCAGCUGCUGUAAGAAGUUGAAGUCAAGCGGGCACGAAACGGUGGCGUUUCGUUGUGCCGCGGCCGUUGUUGUGGAGGCCGCCAGGAAAAGAAUGAGAACAAGGCCUCGUAAGAAUGACAUCGGCAUCGACAUCGACAUCUCGGGGACGGGGAGAGAUACCGGGCGGUGUUGGUAGCAGUACAAAGACAACAAUAAGGAAAAGCAUGUGCACGUGCUUGUGCU
RNAcentral lists this long non-coding RNA (15864 nucleotides) under Citrus sinensis (sweet orange). Its description in RNAcentral is "long non-coding RNA (CSIN_LNC002389)". Lineage: Eukaryota; Viridiplantae; Streptophyta; Magnoliopsida; Sapindales; Rutaceae. The record is from RNAcentral.